GAUGAACGCUGGCGGCGUGCCUAAUACAUGCCAGUCGAGCGAACAGACGAGGAGCUUGCUCCUCUGACGUUAGCGGCGGACGGGUGAGUAACACGUGGAUAACCUACCUAUAAGACUGGGAUAACUUCGGGAAACCGGAGCUAAUACCGGAUAAUAUAUUGAACCGCAUGGUUCAAUAGUGAAAGACGGUUUUGCUGUCACUUAUAGAUGGAUCCGCGCCGCAUUAGCUAGUUGGUAAGGUAACGGCUUACCAAGGCAACGAUGCGUAGCCGACCUGAGAGGGUGAUCGGCCACACUGGAACUGAGACACGGUCCAGACUCUUACGGGAGGCAGCAGUAGGGAAUCUUCCGCAAUGGGCGAAAGCCUGACGGAGCAACGCCGCGUGAGUGAUGAAGGUCUUCGGAUCGUAAAACUCUGUUAUUAGGGAAGAACAAAUGUGUAAGUAACUAUGCACGUCUUGACGGUACCUAAUCAGAAAGCCACGGCUAACUACGUG
This 497-nucleotide ribosomal RNA is filed under the name uncultured bacterium. Its description in RNAcentral is "partial 16S ribosomal RNA". It matches the Rfam family "Bacterial small subunit ribosomal RNA", at positions 28 to 507 of the family's 1533-position model. The record is from RNAcentral.